RNAcentral lists this small RNA (1232 nucleotides) under Arabidopsis thaliana (thale cress). RNAcentral's name for it is "ATSL172550". Lineage: Eukaryota; Viridiplantae; Streptophyta; Magnoliopsida; Brassicales; Brassicaceae. The record is from RNAcentral.
GUUAAUUUGGUCAGUUACAGCUAUCGAUUCAAAAAAUUAAUUAUAUUAUUUUAUUUAAAAUUACGGUUAUCAUUUGUUUAAGUUUACCCAUUGCACUUUAAAUAAACGACUCAUAAAAUCUCUAUCUAUUGCACAUGCUCUAAAAUAAGUUAUCGACUAUAACGUCAUCGAUACACGGAAGGGCUAUGUUGUAGGAGAUUUUUUAGAUUGUGGUUUGACCUGUAUUUAUUUGACAUGGAGGUUUAUCUUGCAAAAAAAAAUUAUAUUGAGGGUUUUUUUGCACAAAAAUCUUUAUGUUUUCAAACGGAGUUAUCGAGUGCCACGUCAUCGAUACCCGGGAGGGUUGUAUUGCGGGUGACUUCAGAGAUUGUGGGAUUGACUUGCAUAAUUCGGACUUGGAGGGUAAACUUGCAAACGAAAUUGACCUGGAGGGUUAUUUUGCAGAAACCCAUUAAAAUAUUUACAAGGGAUUUUAAAAGGGUUUUAAAUGAUUUACAAGGGAUUUUAAAAGGUUUUAAAAAGAUUUACAAGAGUUUUUAAAGGGUUUUAAAAUAUUUACAAGGGAUUUUAAAAGGGUUUUAAAAUAUUUACAAGGGAUUUUAAAGGGCUUUAAAAGAUUUACAAAGGUUUUUAAAAGAGUUUUAAUGGGUUUAAACAAGGGAUUUUAAAAGGGUUUUAAAAGAUUUACAAGAGAUUUUUAAAGGGUUUAAAAGGGUUUUAAAAGAUAAUAGACAUGACCUGAAACCCGAACAUAGGGUUCGAUUGGUGACCUAUAAAGGAAUAUUAGGAAUGAAGAGAAACAUGACUAAAAAAGAACAAACUCAAAGAGAAAAAAUGAUAAAAUAGGAAUGAAAAAGAAUGAGUGUAAAGGAUAAAAUAGCCAAAAUAGACAUGUCUUUAUCAGUAGAACCUAGAAACCCGUUAAUGACUGUUAAUCUGUCCAAAACAACGUCGUUUGAGAAUAAUCGAAAGAACAUAAAGAUUUUUCCCAUAUGAAAUCUCCAUACCAAAAAGUUUUAAGCAGAACCCAAGAACAUAGUUUGAUAUAGAGAUAAUCGUAGUGCCAUUAAUUGGAAGCAAAUAAAGGUGUUUUCGUUUAUAUAUUUGUUUUAAAUUUUAAAAGGAAUCAUGGAAGCAAAUUGAAGACUCAUUAUAAGAUUGUUCGUCUUGUUUGAGCGGUUGUAGAAACAGAUUUGGGGAACUGGGGUUUCAUUUAGAAAACAAUCUCGAUU